This is a long non-coding RNA of Suricata suricatta (meerkat), 625 nucleotides long. RefSeq lists it as uncharacterized. NCBI's taxonomy places the organism in Eukaryota, Metazoa, Chordata, Mammalia, Carnivora, Herpestidae. The record is from RefSeq and is a predicted model, not a curated record. The transcript is spliced from 3 exons.
CCAGCAUCUGAGGUCUCUGACGGCUGGGACUUCUCAGUGCCCCAAAGCCCCUUCCUUUGUUUCAGAGCUUUGACAUCAAUAUCUGGCUUUGAGUGGCACAAAGGGAUAAAGGAAUGUGGAUUCAGAGUGCACUGGGAUGCUUGGCAAUUCUAACUCGACUCCAGACUGCAAAUCAACACAGAGCUGUUGCAACUUUUGUUGAAGAGAAGGCUGAGUCUCUUUAGUAUAAAGAGUCUCUUUCCUGAAAUUGCUUGGGACAGCACAGAAGCUGGAUUGAGAAAACCGAAGUCGCGGUUGCAGGCUUCCGCCAGGCCUGAUGCAGGGAAAGACUGCCAUCUUGUGGUCAUCUUGGAACACGGCACCUCGGUUCCGGAGGAGGCUGCAGAGAGCCAGGACAUGAGAAAUGAGCCUUGGAGCUUAAUUUCUGAAGGACAGUGAGGAUGUCUUUUAAAAACAUCCAGAAAAUAGCUGAGUGCCCUCCAAGGUAGGUUUCAGUGAAUCUUUUGCACUUACACCGUCAUUCCCUGAGCGAGACACUAAAGGCCCACAACACUUGCUGCAUGAAAAUGGGGUAAAAAUGUAGAGAAAUCAUAAUCCCCAGUGAAAAUAAAGAAACACACAUCUA